Molecule: ribosomal RNA, 253 nt
Filed under: uncultured bacterium
Lineage: Bacteria
Description: partial 16S ribosomal RNA
Rfam family: Bacterial small subunit ribosomal RNA
Source: RNAcentral
UACGUAGGCAGCAAGCGUUGUUCGGAAUUACUGGGCGUAAAGAGUGUGUAGGCGGUUUUCUAAGUUUGGUGUGAAAUCUCCCGGCUUAACUGGGAGGGUGCGCCGAAAACUGAUAGACUUGAGGGCUUCAGAGGGACACGGAAUUCCGGGUGGAGUGGUGAAAUGCGCAGAUAUCAGGAGGAACACCGGUGGCGAAGGCGGAUCUCUGGGCCAUUACUGACGCUGAGGAGCGAAAGCGUGGGGAGCGAACAGG